Molecule: ribosomal RNA, 465 nt
Filed under: Triticum aestivum (bread wheat)
Lineage: Eukaryota; Viridiplantae; Streptophyta; Magnoliopsida; Poales; Poaceae
Description: partial small subunit ribosomal RNA
Source: RNAcentral
AUGAACGGAAAGUUUGAUUUGAGGACUUGCAGGAUGGUUAUGGCUCCGCACUUCACUGUAGAAGGGUACUACAUUCUGUAUGUACUAAAUAUGGCCAGCAGGGUGUGCCAUGUGUUUGAUCCUUCACACGCAUGGCAAUUAGAGACAACUUUGGAGAAAAGGCAUUUCCAAGAUUAUAUGGUAUUGUUGAAGGGAAUGUCCUCAUUGAUAAAUCCUGUAUACCCUGGAUUUCAUCUGGAUGUAUCAAAAUGGACAAUUAAAUGUCAUGGUGGGUCGACUGAAGACCGUGUGAAGAGGGGUGAUAGUGCAUUCGUUGUUCUGCAAAUCAUGUUGAGCUUUAAUUGUGAACAAAAAAACGGAAUUUUCCAAUCCAACUGUGUGGCGUUGUUCAAGCUUCAUGUGCUGCAAUGGUUAGGGAGAAUGGAGGGCAACAGAUCAUGGCUCCCAAGUACAAUCAUGCCAUGA